Molecule: ribosomal RNA, 499 nt
Filed under: Vibrio sp. M4-C17
Lineage: Bacteria; Pseudomonadati; Pseudomonadota; Gammaproteobacteria; Vibrionales; Vibrionaceae
Description: bacterial SSU rRNA
Rfam family: Bacterial small subunit ribosomal RNA
Source: RNAcentral
CUAGAGUUUGGAUCAUGGCUCAGAUUGAACGCUGGCGGCAGGCCUAACACAUGCAAGUCGAGCGGUAACAGGAAGGAAGCUUGCUUUCUUUGCUGACGAGCGGCGGACGGGUGAGUAAUGCCUGGGAAAUUGCCCUGAUGUGGGGGAUAACCAUUGGAAACGAUGGCUAAUACCGCAUGAUGCCUACGGGCCAAAGAGGGGGACCUUCGGGCCUCUCGCGUCAGGAUAUGCCCAGGUGGGAUUAGCUAGUUGGUGAGGUAAUGGCUCACCAAGGCGACGAUCCCUAGCUGGUCUGAGAGGAUGAUCAGCCACACUGGAACUGAGACACGGUCCAGACUCCUACGGGAGGCAGCAGUGGGGAAUAUUGCACAAUGGGCGCAAGCCUGAUGCAGCCAUGCCGCGUGUAUGAAGAAGGCCUUCGGGUUGUAAAGUACUUUCAGUGGUGAGGAAGGGAGUGUGGUUAAUAGCCAUAUUCUUGACCGUAGCCACAGAGAAGCCG